Molecule: ribosomal RNA, 253 nt
Filed under: uncultured bacterium
Lineage: Bacteria
Description: partial 16S ribosomal RNA
Rfam family: Bacterial small subunit ribosomal RNA
Source: RNAcentral
UACGGAGGGUGCAAGCGUUAUCCGGAUUCACUGGGUUUAAAGGGCGCGUAGGAGGGCAGGUAAGUCAGUGGUGAAAUCCCCGAGCUUAACUUGGGAACUGCCGUUGAUACUAUCUGUCUUGAAUGUUGUGGAGGUGAGCGGAAUAUGUCAUGUAGCGGUGAAAUGCUUAGAUAUGACAUAGAACACCAAUUGCGAAGGCAGCUCGCUACACAAUUAUUGACUCUGAGGCACGAAAGCGUGGGGAUCAAACAGG